UGCAAUUUUCAGCUCGAUUUUUAUGUCGACGUCCAUUCUUUCCUCAUGAAAAUCAAACCACUAUUUUAAUUUAUUCCAAACACAGCAUUGUAAUAUUUACAUUAUGUGCACGUACUGUCGGUCACGCGGAAUGCAAGAGAAAAUCCGCCGUUAAAUUGAGUCACGAAUCCUGAUACCCACAAAAGGAACGUGAAAAAGAGCAGGAAAAGGAAAGAGCACUAGCGGCGAAGCAGACAGAAAAGAACAAACAGAAGAGACAGAUUCAAGCUUUGUCUUUUAAUCUGGACGAAGACGAAGAUGAAGCUGAGAUGUCUUCUGACGAAGACAAUGCCAAAAAAUCCCCGCAGUCAGAAAAUGUGCAAUUUGAUGGCCCUGCGAUUAAGAAGAUUUAGAAAAAUCCAGAUGUAGAUACAUGUUUUUUGCCAGUAGGGAAAGGGACGAGGAGAAAAAUAAACUUAGGGAAGAAUUGAGAUAAGAAUGGGGUAGAAAGCAGAACGCGUUGAAGGAAGAAGAAAUUGAGAUCACAUUCAGUUAUUGGGAUGGAUCUGACCAUCGUCGGAGUGUUAUAAUGAAGAAAGGUAAUUCUAUCUAUUAGGUUCUUUAGAGAUGUUUAGAAGUUCUGAGGCGUGAAUUCAGCGAGCUUAAAACAGUAAUGGCAGAUCAGUUAAUGUAUGUCAAGGAGAAUCUUAUAUUACCGCACCAUUAUACGUUUUACUGCAACUAUAACUGAUUUUAUUGUAACUAAGGUAAAUAU
Long non-coding RNA from Temnothorax curvispinosus, 754 nucleotides. RefSeq lists it as uncharacterized. The transcript is spliced from 3 exons. Lineage: Eukaryota; Metazoa; Arthropoda; Insecta; Hymenoptera; Formicidae. The record is from RefSeq and is a predicted model, not a curated record.